This 73-nucleotide transfer RNA is filed under the name Vairimorpha ceranae BRL01. Its description in RNAcentral is "Nosema ceranae BRL01 tRNA-Tyr". It matches the Rfam family "tRNA". From Rfam's summary of the family: Transfer RNA (tRNA) molecules are approximately 80 nucleotides in length. Lineage: Eukaryota; Fungi; Microsporidia; Nosematidae. The record is from RNAcentral.
CUCUCAGUAGCUCAGCGGUAGAGCGUUCGACUGUAGAAUCGAAUGGCCACAGGUUCGACUCCUGUCUGGGAGA